This 76-nucleotide transfer RNA is filed under the name Frankiales bacterium. Its description in RNAcentral is "tRNA-His". It matches the Rfam family "tRNA". From Rfam's summary of the family: Transfer RNA (tRNA) molecules are approximately 80 nucleotides in length. Their secondary structure includes four short double-helical elements and three loops (D, anti-codon, and T loops). Further hydrogen bonds mediate the characteristic L-shaped molecular structure. tRNAs have two regions of fundamental functional importance: the anti-codon, which is responsible for specific mRNA codon recognition, and the 3' end, to which the tRNAs corresponding amino acid is attached (by aminoacyl-tRNA synthetases). tRNAs cope with the degeneracy of the genetic code in two manners: having more than one tRNA (with a specific anti-codon) for a particular amino acid; and 'wobble' base-pairing, i.e. permitting non-standard base-pairing at the 3rd anti-codon position. RNAcentral also lists the same sequence under 1 other name. Lineage: Bacteria; Bacillati; Actinomycetota; Actinomycetes; Frankiales. The record is from RNAcentral.
GUGGGUGUAGCUCAGUUGGCAGAGCACCGGGUUGUGAUCCCGGUUGUCGCGGGUUCGACCCCCGUCACUCACCCCA